AGAGUUUGAUCAUGGCUCAGAAUCAACGCUGGCGGCGUGCCUAACACAUGCAAGUCGAACGAGAAAGUGGAGCAAUCCAUGAGUACAGUGGCGACCGGGUGAGUAACACGUGAUCAACCUACCCUCGAGUGGGGGAUAACUCCGGGAAACCGGAGCUAAUACCGCAUAACAUCUUCGGUCCACAUGAACUGAUGAUCAAAGGAGCAAUUCGCUUGAGGAGGGGGUCGCGGCUGAUUAGCUAGUUGGUAGGGUAAUGGCCUACCAAGGCUUAGAUCGGUAUCCGGCCUGAGAGGGCGCACGGACACACUGGAACUGAAACACGGUCCAGACUCCUACGGGAGGCAGCAGUGGGGAAUUUUGCGCAAUGGGGGAAACCCUGACGCAGCAACGCCGCGUGGAGGAUGAAGUCCCUUGGGACGUAAACUCCUUUCGACCGGGAAGAUACUGACGGUACCGGAUGAAGAAGCACCGGCUAACUCUGUGCCAGCAGCCGCGGUAAUACAGAGGGUGCGAGCGUUGUUCGGAAUUAUUGGGCGUAAAGGGCGCGUAGGCGGCGCGGUAAGUCACCUGUGAAAUCUCCUGGCUCAACUGGGAGCUUGCAGGCGAAACUGCCGUGCUGGAGUGUGGGUGAGGUGCGUGGAAUUCCUGGUGUAGCGGUGAAAUGCGUAGAUAUCAGGAGGAACACCUGUGGCGAAAGCGGCGCACUGGACCACAACUGACGCUGAGGCGCGAAAGCUAGGGGAGCAAACAGGAUUAGAUACCCUAGUAGUCC
This 772-nucleotide ribosomal RNA is filed under the name uncultured bacterium. RNAcentral's name for it is "bacterial SSU rRNA". It matches the Rfam family "Bacterial small subunit ribosomal RNA", at positions 8 to 796 of the family's 1533-position model. The record is from RNAcentral.